CCUGGUUGAUCCUGUCAGUAGCAUUUGCUUGUCUCAAAGAUUAAGUCACACACCUGGUAAGUACACACAGCCGGUGUGCUGAAACAGCAAAUGGCUCAUUAAAUGAGUCAUGGUUCCGUUGGUCGCUUCAUAUGUUACUUAGAUAACUGUGCUAAUCCUCGAGCUGAUACAUGCCGACGAGCACUGACCUCCCGGAUGCUUCCACUCAUCAGACCUAAACAAAUUUGGGCUCCCCUGGCUGCUUUGGUGACCCUAGAUAACCUCGGACCAAUACAUUCUGAUGUCAGCCCUAUCAUCUUCUGAUGGUACUUUCUGUGCCUACCAUGGUGAGCAUGUGUAGCUGGGAAUCAGGGUUUGAUUGUGGAGAGGGAGCCUGAGAAACAGCUAUCGCAUCAAGGAAGGCAGGAGGCGCUCAAAUUUCCCACUCCUAACUUGGAGAGGUAGGGAUGAAAAUUAACAAUGCAGGAUUCAUACGAGGCCGGUAAUUGGAAUGGGUACACUUUAAAUCCUAUAAUUAGGAUCCAUUAGAGGGCAAGUCUGGUGCCAGCAACCACAGUAAUUCCAGCUGCAAUAACGUAUAUUAAAGUUGCUGCAGUUAAAUAUCUCAGUAGUUUGAUUUUGAGAUUGAGCUGCCGGUCUCUCGCAAGGUGAGCUGCCGCCUGUCCCACGACCUGCCUCUCGGCACCACCUUGAUGCUCUUGACUGAAUGUCCUGGGGGUCUGGAGCAUUUACUUAGAAAAAAUCAGAGUGUUUAAAGCAGGCCGUUCACCUGAAUACAUGAGCUCAGAAUAAUGGAAUAGGAGUGCAUUUCUUGGUUUUUGGGUGCAUUCGUAUUGUGCUGCUAGAAGUGAAAUUCUUGCACCUGCACAGGAGGAACCAAAGCAAAAGCAUUACCCAAGAAGUUUUUUAUUAUCCAAGAAUGCAAGUUGUUGCUGUUAAAAAUGGCAACCGUUAUUCUAUAUCACAUAGGUACCUUAUAGUUCUGCUUAGAACAACUUGGUGUUAUGUUGUUGCCGUAAGGUAGUUUGCAUGGAGAGUCCUUGAUGCUAAGUGUCUUAAGCGUUCUUUACCGCUAUUCCGAACUGCACUGAAUUUGCAGUUUCACCCGCCAUCUGUAACAGAACAAAGCAGAGAAAUGAUCAGUUGCUUAGCUGGU
RNAcentral lists this ribosomal RNA (1156 nucleotides) under Ambystoma mexicanum (axolotl). RNAcentral's name for it is "SSU rRNA". The stretch from base 2 to 1013 matches the Rfam family "Eukaryotic small subunit ribosomal RNA", at positions 4 to 1116 of the family's 1831-position model. The record is from RNAcentral. Lineage: Eukaryota; Metazoa; Chordata; Amphibia; Caudata; Ambystomatidae.